This 194-nucleotide unclassified non-coding RNA is filed under the name uncultured Entolomataceae. RNAcentral describes it as "sequence contains ITS2". The record is from RNAcentral. Lineage: Eukaryota; Fungi; Basidiomycota; Agaricomycetes; Agaricales; Entolomataceae.
AAUUCUCAACUAUACAAGUUUUUGUAACCUGUAUAGCUUGGACUUUGGGAUUUGCGGGCUUUCACGAGUCGGCUAUCCUUAAAUACAUUAGCAGAGCUUUUGCCGCUAACCUCUGGUGUGAUAAUUAUCUACGCCAUUGAGUUGCGACAUACUGAGGCUUAGCUUCUAAUCGUCCGCAAGGACAAUAUUUGACA